GCCGCGGUGGUGGAAUUGGUAGACACGAUGGAUUCAAAAUCCAUUUUCUUCGGAAGUGACGGUUCAAGUCCGUCUCGCGGUACCA
Molecule: transfer RNA, 85 nt
Filed under: Shewanella sp. 4_MG-2023
Lineage: Bacteria; Pseudomonadati; Pseudomonadota; Gammaproteobacteria; Alteromonadales; Shewanellaceae
Description: tRNA-Leu
Rfam family: tRNA
About the family: Transfer RNA (tRNA) molecules are approximately 80 nucleotides in length.
Source: RNAcentral